GGUUUGUUUUGGACGGAUUUAUGUUUGAUCUAGAUUUUAAAAAAGUAAUUUUUUACAAAAUUAAUUUUUGUUAAAAACUGUAGAGCGUUUAACUGAGUCUAGCAAGAACAUAAAUUUUUUGACGUGAAUUCCAAAAUUAUUUGGCAAAAUAUUUUAUUGUUUGUGUAAUGUUUCGAAAACUUAGCUGUAAUGAUGACUAUAGUAUCAGUAGCUGGUCGAUGCAGCUAUAAAAUGUUGGGUUGAGCCGGAAUCGUUUUGGCGCCAAAUUGACACAAAAAUAGAUUUAGCUUAGAGGUAUAGAGAUGAAAAGAUCAAGUGUAUUAUGUAAUUAUAAAUAAAGUUGUAAUAACUUAGAUUGUAUUUGAAAGCAAAAUGUAUUAUGUAGUUGAGUUGUAAAAGUUGAAUAUAAGCCGGUGAAUGCUUGUAAUAGUUUAGCUGGUUAUGUUUUUGAUACUGGCUUAUGCAAUCUGUAUGUUGAUUAUUGUUCCUGAUUGGAACCUUCGUCUUGUAUUGAUUACGACGCCUAGGACGUACAGAAAAAACUCUGUCCGUUCGGCGCUGUCGGCGGCGCUGUCGGCGGCGCCGCAACCUCGGCCAAAUAGGCGGGUGUG
This 611-nucleotide long non-coding RNA is filed under the name Ananas comosus (pineapple). RNAcentral's name for it is "long non-coding RNA (ACOM_LNC017948)". Lineage: Eukaryota; Viridiplantae; Streptophyta; Magnoliopsida; Poales; Bromeliaceae. The record is from RNAcentral.